RNAcentral lists this ribosomal RNA (253 nucleotides) under uncultured bacterium. RNAcentral describes it as "partial 16S ribosomal RNA". It matches the Rfam family "Bacterial small subunit ribosomal RNA", at positions 524 to 776 of the family's 1533-position model. The record is from RNAcentral.
UACGUAGGGGGCAAGCGUUGUCCGGAAUUAUUGGGCGUAAAGAGCGCGUAGGCGGUCCGGUAAGUCGGUUGUGAAAGUCGGGGGCUCAACCCUCGGAUGCCGAUCGAUACUGCCGGGCUAGAGUCCGGAAGAGGCGAGUGGAAUUCCUGGUGUAGCGGUGAAAUGCGUAGAUAUUGGGAGGAACACCAGUGGCGAAGGCGGCUCACUGGACCGGAACUGACGCUGAGGCGCGAAAGCGUGGGGGGCAAACAGG